AAUAAUUAAAAAAUAUAUAAAACACACCGGAGAUAACUACUGACCAUCUGUAGGAUAAAAAAAACUAGUAUCGUAAUGAUUUUAAUAAUGCCGGCAUUAAAAACGACGUAAGGGCAUUUUAAUAUGUUGCUAUUGAUGACAAUGGAAAUAAUAAAUAUGCAUAAAUUUGGGGCCAAAAUAAAAGGAUAAAAUAUAGUAGAAAUUGAAUCAAUAAUACACUCUAGCUACAAUGUACCUCACGCAAACAACAC
RNAcentral lists this long non-coding RNA (251 nucleotides) under Mytilus galloprovincialis (Mediterranean mussel). The record is from RNAcentral. Lineage: Eukaryota; Metazoa; Mollusca; Bivalvia; Mytilida; Mytilidae.